Molecule: transfer RNA, 75 nt
Filed under: Candidatus Aenigmatarchaeota archaeon
Lineage: Archaea; Nanobdellati; Candidatus Aenigmatarchaeota
Description: tRNA-Ile
Rfam family: tRNA
About the family: Transfer RNA (tRNA) molecules are approximately 80 nucleotides in length. Their secondary structure includes four short double-helical elements and three loops (D, anti-codon, and T loops).
Source: RNAcentral
GGGCCCGUCGUCUAGCUUGGUCUAGGAUCCGAGCCUAAUUAGCUCGAGACAGGAGUUCAAAUCUCCUCGGGCCCA